This 3207-nucleotide long non-coding RNA is filed under the name Mytilus galloprovincialis (Mediterranean mussel). Lineage: Eukaryota; Metazoa; Mollusca; Bivalvia; Mytilida; Mytilidae. The record is from RNAcentral.
CUGAUAUUCAUUUAUUGUAUGAAAAACAAUAAAUUCGUUGAAAAAUCAUCAGAACUAUGCCUUGUACAUAAAAGAAUGAACAAUUUGUGAUUCUUUAUUCCUCUAUUAUGACUAGCAGAAAUUUCUUAUUAUUAAUUUUAUUCAUGUAGCAUUUAUUGAUUCAUAUUCAAUACAUAAAAUAUUUCUGAAAUGCCCUUUGAAUAUGUAAAAUAUAUGUCAUGUAUAAUUAAAAAGGAUGAGUUUGAUCUAACAAUUGAAGAUGAGUGAAGAUGACUUUACUUAGACCAUAUGGUAUUUAAUAUAAAAUUACUGGCACAUAUGUUGUAUACUUAGUUAUAACAUACAUAUACAAUUUCCAUAUACUAUUUAUUCCUGUACUUUAUAAUAUGUUUUAGCUAAACAAAAUAAAUAAUGCAAUUUUCUAGAAUAUUUUUGUUUGCAUCUUUUUGUUUUCUCAAAAUGUUAAAAACCUGGUUUUAACAAAUUUUAAUGGUAUUUUCUAAUAAGAUGUGUCCCUAUGAAGAAUGAAACAUGAGGAUUGAAAUCAAACAUUUAGUUUGUAAAACAUUGGUUUUGUAAUGAGUGGUUCCUUUUUGACACAUACAUUAUGUAUGAAAUGCCUUAGCAAAACAAUUGAUAGACAAGUCAAUUUAAUAAGAAAGAAUUCAAAAAUAAUUUCAAUAUGUCAAAUUGACAUAUUUUUUUACAGAAUAUCUACAAUAACUACUUAAGGGUGUACUUAGGUGAGGUUUAGAAAUAUGUGUCAGCUGUUCGGACAACUUGCUUUUUUUCCUUCAAUACAAGGUUAAAUAUUUUGCCCCAUAACUCCCACUUUCGUUUUUAUAUCAGACUUUAAUUUCUCAUAAAAGAUUAUUUACCAAAAUUUAAGCAGAUUCUUUAAUUUGUUUAUUUGGAGUUUAGAAAAUAAUACCAGUGCAAAUUACGUUAAAGUCAGAGGCAAACUUUUACUCACCAUUUAAAAAAUAUCAAUAUCUCGAUAAGGAGCGCCAUACAAAAUCAAUAUUUUUAGCUUAUUUUGAUCCUCAACUAAUGCUCUUUAACUUAUAGUAUCAAUUUAACAUUCUCUAUUUUAUUUAAUUUCAUCUUAGUACAUCCUUACCAAUAGACCAAAUUAGGUAAACAAUACCUAAUGAACUAACUUGAUCCAGUAAAAAUAAACAAGAUAAAUAGCCUUAAAAUGACGCCAAGACCAUGUUGUAAUUUAGACAUGUCAAAUGAGCAUAUAUUUGUUGCACAUGCACAUAUCAACUAUUAUUAUCCAAUUAAUGAAAGUAAGUGAAGAACAGAAAUAAUUCUGAAAUCUUUACAAGAUCAUUAGUUUUAAAAUGAGGUCAAGGUCAAGUGACAAAAAAAUAUUAGCAACCUCAAUAUUAAUUUGAGAUAGCCAAAUGAAAUUGGGGAAAGGAGUAGGUUCAGUAAGACCCCUUUUUGGCCCCAAAAUACAGCAUUUUACAAAAUUGUUAAAAUGUAAUCUUUUAGUUAUUUUUUGGAAAGAAGAAAGCUUCUGCUACAUAACUAUGGGCUGUGUUUGACAAUACAAUGCACAUAUAUUGGGUACUAGCAUCAUUAAGUCAUGCUAAAUUAUUGAAAUCUUCACAAUUUUAGUUAAAUUUUAGGCGUUUUCUGUCUUAAAUGAAAGUGGCCGCAUUUGUGUUCAUUUUUAAUAUUGAAAUGUAAGUUGUAUUUGAUGAUAAUAUAUAACAUACAUAAAGAUUGCGGAUGAACAUGGAUGCAGCCACUUUCAUUUUUGACAAAAACCAUCUGAAAAGUGACAUUUUUAGGCAUAUUUGAUAGAUUUUUCAUAUUUGCUAGAAUCGGAGCAUUUUUAAUAAGUAAAUCAGUUUAAAUCUUUCACAUACACUAAUUGAUUCAACUGAAAUAGACACUUAAGUGUUUAAAAAGUGUCUAAAAUCUUUCGUCAGAUGAACUUGAAAUUUGAGGCCAAAAUUGGCCCUUGCCGGCCCUACUCCUUUAGCUUAUAAAUGGACUUUUAUCACAACCGAGAUAGAAUUAAAAAUCACUUUGCUUUGGCGUUAAGAUAGGUUUUUUUUAUGAGAUCAUCUGACGAACGAACACAAAAUGCUAAUACUAUUUACUGAAAAUUGAAGAAAAAAACAAACAAGUUUUACUUACAUAAAAGCAAGGGGUUUUGCUUUUCAUUUGAUUGCUAUUUUACAUAUUUUCAUUUUUUUAUUCUGACGGAUUGAAUAAAAAGUAUUUGUAUUUGAGAUUUAUUAAUAUGUUAUUCUUACACAAAGUAACUUUUUAAACAAUAAUGCUAUACCCUUUUUGAAAAUAAAUUAAAAUAGCUUUUUUCGCUAAAAAAUUGAAAUAAAAUGGUCCAUUAGCUAAAGUCUUAAACAACUAACUAACAUUUAAGUGAAUUACUAUGAAACCUAUCUUAAUUAUUAAAUUUCUUAAUUUUAAAGAACAAAUUUAGAACGCAAAUUAUUAUGAAUUAUAUCAAAUUUGAAAAAAAAAAUCUUCUGCUCCCUUAGAUGACUGACAGUACCCCCCCCCCCUUUUUCCUCUCGUAUGUGACCAUGCUUGACCAUGCUAUGCUACUUCUACUUAAUGACACUAUAUGGGCUAUAUGCCAUUAAAUCAUACACUUGUGAUUUGUCAUGUAUUACUACUGUUAUGAAAAUAAAUCCAAUGUUGUAUGUAAACAAGUUAACUUUAAAAAUGACAAUGCCAUAAGGGUACAGAUUUCACAAAAAUGUAAAAUCUGGCAAAAUUGAAUCAUGUCCAGUUUAAUUAUCUUUCCCUGGAAUUAAAAUGUUUAAUUUUAUUAAAGUUAUCAACAAGACUAAUGUUUUCUAAUAAAUAAAACAGAAAAAUUGUGUACCACAUUCUUAAUGAAUGCCUUAUUCAAAGAGUUAAAAUGUCCUUACAAAUUGUAUUUCUAUGUUUAUGGAUUUAUCUAUGCUUGAAAAUUUAUUUAAAAUAAAACAAAGUACUAAAUCGAAAUUGGCUCCAAUUAUACAUGCCCAUUUUAACAAUAAUAAUAAGACUAAUACAGUAAUGUUUUGUAAAGUACAAACCUGAAAGGUGUCAGUUCUUUGGAUUUCAAAAAAUCCACAAUACUACUUGUGCUUCAACUCAAGUCAUUACAACAUUAUCACAGACAUAUAUAUUGCACAGAUACUUUAAUAAAAUGGACAACUCAUAAGAUACAUAUAUAAU